RNAcentral lists this ribosomal RNA (560 nucleotides) under uncultured bacterium. RNAcentral's name for it is "bacterial SSU rRNA". It matches the Rfam family "Bacterial small subunit ribosomal RNA", at positions 366 to 918 of the family's 1533-position model. The record is from RNAcentral.
GCACAAUGGAGGAAACUCUGAUGCAGCCAUGCCGCGUGUGUGAAGAAGGCCUUCGGGUUGUAAAGCACUUUCAGUUGUGAGGAAAGCUUGGUGGUUAAUACCCAUCAGGUAUGACGUUAGCAACAGAGGAAGGACCGGCUAACUCCGUGCCAGCAGCCGCGGUAAUACGGAGGGUCCGAGCGUUAAUCGGAAUUACUGGGCGUAAAGCGCACGCAGGCGGUUUGUUAAGCUAGAUGUGAAAGCCCCGGGCUCAACCUGGGAAUAGCAUUUAKAACUGGCAGACUASAGUCUUGGAGAGGGGAGUGGAAUUUCUGGUGUAGCGGUGAAAUGCGUAGAUAUCAGAAGGAACAUCAGUGGCGAAGGCGACUCCCUGGCCAAAGACUGACGCUCAUGUGCGAAAGUGUGGGUAGCGAACAGGAUUAGAUACCCUGGUAGUCCACACCGUAAACGCUGUCUACUAGCUGUUUGUGGAUUUAAUCCGUGAGUGGCGAAGCUAACGCGAUAAGUAGACCGCCUGGGGAGUACGGCCGCAAGGUUAAAACUCAAAGGAAUUGACGGGG